This is a long non-coding RNA of Cygnus atratus (black swan), 397 nucleotides long. RefSeq lists it as uncharacterized. Lineage: Eukaryota; Metazoa; Chordata; Aves; Anseriformes; Anatidae. The transcript is spliced from 3 exons. The record is from RefSeq and is a predicted model, not a curated record.
UCUCCCCGCCUCUCACCCGCGCCGCUGCCGCCGGGUCGCGGUCGAUGUCGCCGUCCGAGAACCUGCCGAGGAAACACAACGGCGUUGAGCCAACAGCCAGUAAGUACACAAGCCACAAGGACCUUUGUGAUGGAUGGCACGCCAAAAUUACAUGGAAAGUUUGGGGCUGUUUAGAACAUAUUGGGAAGCGACGGAAAAGACCACUUCUUGGACACAGCUCAACUUUCAUUUGAGCUACAAAGCCAUACACGCUCCUUGUACGCCGAUCUGUUUCGUUUCUGGUGCUUUAAUAACUGAGGUGAUCACUGUGCCAGAUGGAUGAGCGACCACCUGUGAACUGCUGGGUGAAAAAGUUACCACUGGGGUAGUGGCAGUGAAGGAAGGAGAUGAAGCCAUG